AACAACACACAUUGGUAUUUAGCUGUUGUGAAUACAAAAAAACGUGAGGUUCAAGUACUGGACUCAUUGUGCUGGGACUUUGACCGUGAUGAUCUCGCUCAUACGCUACGAGGAGUACAAUUUCAUUUGGACCUUCUUAAAAGUCAAAACUUGGUAAAAGACAAUUGGAAAGACGUUGAUCUCACUGAAUGGAAGAUCACAGAACAAUUACAAAAGGCAAUUCAAACAGACAGUUCUUCAUGUGGUUUGUUUAUGAUCAAAUUUAUGGAAUAUUUCACCGGAUGUGCACUAUCUUACCCAAUUACACAGGAAAUGAUUACUUCAUUUAGGUUUAAGUUAGCCAGCAUACUAUUAUGUUGGAAAAUUGGACAUAAAAAUGAUGCAUAA
This 387-nucleotide ribosomal RNA is filed under the name Triticum aestivum (bread wheat). Its description in RNAcentral is "partial small subunit ribosomal RNA". The record is from RNAcentral. Lineage: Eukaryota; Viridiplantae; Streptophyta; Magnoliopsida; Poales; Poaceae.